CCUGGGUACGGCCGCAAGGUUAAAACUCAAAUGAAUUGACGGGGGCCCGCACAAGCGGUGGAGCAUGUGGUUUAAUUCGAUGCAACGCGAAGAACCUUACCUGGUCUUGACAUCCACAGAACUUUCCAGAGAUGGAUUGG
RNAcentral lists this ribosomal RNA (140 nucleotides) under Klebsiella pneumoniae. RNAcentral describes it as "partial 16S ribosomal RNA". It matches the Rfam family "Bacterial small subunit ribosomal RNA", at positions 872 to 1014 of the family's 1533-position model. Lineage: Bacteria; Pseudomonadati; Pseudomonadota; Gammaproteobacteria; Enterobacterales; Enterobacteriaceae. The record is from RNAcentral.